AGAGUUUGAUUAUGGCUCAGGAUGAACGCUGGCGGCGUGCUUAACACAUGCAAGUCGAACGGGGUGCCUUAGAAAGAGGAUUCGUCCAAUUGAUAAGGUUACCUAGUGGCGGACGGGUGAGUAACGCGUGAGUAACCUGCCCUGGAGUGGGGAAUAACAGCUGGAAACAGCUGCUAAUACCGCAUAAUGCAGUUGGGUCGCAUGGCUCUGACUGCCAAAGAUUUAUCGCUCUGGGAUGGACUCGCGUCUGAUUAGCUAGUUGGUGGGGUAACGGCCCACCAAGGCGACGAUCAGUAGCCGGACUGAGAGGUUGGCCGGCCACAUUGGGACUGAGACACGGCCCAGACUCCUACGGGAGGCAGCAGUGGGGAAUAUUGGGCAAUGGGCGCAAGCCUGACCCAGCAACGCCGCGUGAAGGAAGAAGGCUUUCGGGUUGUAAACUUCUUUUGUCAAGGACGAAGCAAGUGACGGUACCUGAC
RNAcentral lists this ribosomal RNA (479 nucleotides) under uncultured bacterium. RNAcentral describes it as "bacterial SSU rRNA". It matches the Rfam family "Bacterial small subunit ribosomal RNA", at positions 8 to 483 of the family's 1533-position model. The record is from RNAcentral.